This 683-nucleotide ribosomal RNA is filed under the name Salmonella enterica. Its description in RNAcentral is "partial 23S ribosomal RNA". It matches the Rfam family "Bacterial large subunit ribosomal RNA", at positions 2259 to 2925 of the family's 2925-position model. The record is from RNAcentral. RNAcentral also lists the same sequence under 3 other names. Lineage: Bacteria; Pseudomonadati; Pseudomonadota; Gammaproteobacteria; Enterobacterales; Enterobacteriaceae.
UGGUGGGUAGUUUGACUGGGGCGGUCUCCUCCUAAAGAGUAACGGAGGAGCACGAAGGUUGGCUAAUCCUGGUCGGACAUCAGGAGGUUAGUGCAAUGGCAUAAGCCAGCUUGACUGCGAGCGUGACGGCGCGAGCAGGUGCGAAAGCAGGUCAUAGUGAUCCGGUGGUUCUGAAUGGAAGGGCCAUCGCUCAACGGAUAAAAGGUACUCCGGGGAUAACAGGCUGAUACCGCCCAAGAGUUCAUAUCGACGGCGGUGUUUGGCACCUCGAUGUCGGCUCAUCACAUCCUGGGGCUGAAGUAGGUCCCAAGGGUAUGGCUGUUCGCCAUUUAAAGUGGUACGCGAGCUGGGUUUAGAACGUCGUGAGACAGUUCGGUCCCUAUCUGCCGUGGGCGCUGGAGAACUGAGGGGGGCUGCUCCUAGUACGAGAGGACCGGAGUGGACGCAUCACUGGUGUUCGGGUUGUCAUGCCAAUGGCACUGCCCGGUAGCUAAAUGCGGAAGAGAUAAGUGCUGAAAGCAUCUAAGCACGAAACUUGCCCCGGGAUGAGUUCUCCCUGAGACUUAGAGUCUCCUGAAGGAACGUUGAAGACGACGACGUUGAUAGGCCGGGUGUGUAAGCGCAGCGAUGCGUUGAGCUAACCGGUACUAAUGAACCGUGAGGCUUAACCUUACAACGCCGAA